CCCCGCGCCGCCGAGUCCCGCGCCCCCUGCACGGCCGCCGCUGCGUCCCGACCGAGUGCGGAGCCCGGCGCGAUGCGACGCUCCGAAUUGGGCCGCGCCGUGCUCCUGGCGCUGCUGGCCGCGCACUUCCAGGCGAGUCCGGCGCUGGAGGAGAAGAAAGUUUGCCAAGGGACAAGUAACAAGCUCACCCAGUUGGGCACUUUUGAAGACCACUUUCUCAGCCUCCAGAGGAUGUUCAAUAACUGUGAGGUGGUCCUUGGGAAUUUGGAAAUUACCUACAUGCAAAGUAGUUACAACCUUUCUUUCCUAAAGACCAUCCAGGAGGUUGCUGGCUAUGUACUCAUUGCCCUCAACACAGUGGAGACGAUUCCUUUGGAAAAGCUGCAGAUCAUCAGAGGAAAUGUGCUCUAUGAAAACACCCAUGCCUUAGCGGUCUUAUCCAACUACGGUGCAAAUAAAACGGGACUGAGGGAGUUGCCCAUGAGAAACUUACAGGAGAUCCUGCAAGGCGCCGUGCGAUUCAGCAACAACCCUGUCCUCUGCAACAUGGACACCGUCCAGUGGAGGGACAUCGUCAACGCCGACUUUCUAAGCAAUAUGUCGAUUGAAUUUCAGAGCCAGCUGAGCAGAUGCCCAAAGUGUGAUCCAGUCUGUCUUAAUGGAAGCUGCUGGGGUGCAGGGAAGGAGAACUGCCAGAAACUGACCAAAGUCAUCUGUGCCCAGCAGUGUUCCGGGCGCUGCCGCGGCAGGUCCCCCAGCGACUGCUGCCAUAGCCAGUGUGCCGCCGGCUGCACGGGGCCGCGGGAGAGUGACUGCCUGGUCUGCCGCAGGUUCCGGGACGGAGCCACGUGCAAGGACACAUGCCCGCCACUCAUGCUGUACGACCCCACCACCUACGAGAUGAAAGUCAACCCGCUGGGGAAGUACAGCUUCGGCGCCACCUGUGUCAGGAAGUGUCCCCGUAACUACGUGGUGACGGACCACGGCUCGUGCGUCCGCGCCUGCAGCUCUGACAGCCAGGAGGUGGAGGAGGACGGCGUCCGCAAGUGUAAAAAGUGCGACGGACCUUGUGGCAAAGUUUGUAACGGAAUAGGAAUUGGUGAGUUUAAAGAUACACUUUCCAUAAACGCUACAAAUAUUAAACACUUCAGAAAUUGCACCUCGAUCAGUGGAGACCUUCAUAUCCUGCCAGUAGCAUUUAAGGGUGAUUCCUUCACACGUACUCCACCUCUGGACCCAAAGGAACUGGACAUUCUAAAAACUGUAAAGGAAAUAACAGGGUUUUUGCUGAUUCAGGCCUGGCCUGCAAACAGGACUGGCCUCCAUGCUUUUGAGAACCUGGAAAUCAUACGUGGCAGGACGAAGCAACAUGGUCAGUUUUCUCUGGCGGUUGUUGGCCUGGAUAUAACGUCCUUGGGAUUACGCUCCCUCAAGGAGAUAAGUGAUGGAGAUGUGAUCAUUUCAGGAAACCGAAAGUUGUGCUACGCAGAGACAAUAAACUGGAAAAAACUCUUUGGGACCUCAAGUCAGAAAACCAAAAUUACCAACAACAGGAGUGAAAAAGAGUGCAAGGCCAUGGGCCACGUCUGUAACCCGCUGUGUUCGUCAGAGGGCUGCUGGGGCCCGAAACCCGAAGACUGCAUGUCCUGCCGAAACUUCAGCCGUGGCAGGGAGUGUGUGGAGAAGUGCAACAUUCUAAAGGGAGAGCCCAGGGAGUUCGUUGAAAACUCCGAGUGCGUGCAGUGCCAUCCGGAAUGCCUGCCCCAGGCCAUGAACGUGACCUGCACGGGACACGGACCAGGCAGCUGUGUAAAGUGUGCCCACAACAUCGACGGCCCUCACUGCGUCCAGACCUGCCCUGCUGGGGUCACAGGAGGAAACAGCACCCUGCUCUGGAAGUUUGCAGAUGCCAAUCACGUGUGUCACCUGUGCCACCCCAGCUGCACCUACGGCUGUGCUGGGCCCGGUUCUGAAGGCUGUGCAGUGAGUGGGCCCAGGAUUCCGUCCAUCGCCACCGGGAUGGUGGGCGCCCUGCUGCUGGCCCUGGUGCUGGCCCUGGGGGUCGGCCUCUUUCUGCGCAGGCGCCGCAUCGUCCGCAAGCGCACGCUGCGCCGGCUGCUGCAGGAGCGCGAGCUUGUCGAGCCUCUGACGCCCAGCGGAGAAGCUCCCAACCAAGCUCUCUUGAGGAUCUUAAAGGAGACGGAAUUAAAAAAGGUCAAGGUGCUGGGCUCCGGAGCAUUCGGCACGGUGUACAAGGGACUCUGGAUCCCAGAAGGCGAGAAGGUUAAAAUUCCUGUGGCUAUCAAGGAAUUAAGAGAAGCCACAUCUCCAAAAGCCAACAAGGAGAUUCUUGAUGAAGCCUACGUGAUGGCCAGUGUGGACAAUCCGCACGUGUGCCGCCUCCUGGGCAUCUGCCUGACGUCCACGGUGCAGCUCAUCACGCAGCUCAUGCCCUUCGGCUGCCUGCUGGACUACGUCCGCGAGCACAAGGACAACAUCGGCUCCCAGCACCUGCUCAACUGGUGCGUGCAGAUCGCAAAGGGCAUGAACUACCUGGAAGACCGGCGCCUGGUGCACCGAGACCUGGCGGCCAGGAAUGUGCUGGUGAAGACGCCGCAGCACGUCAAGAUCACGGAUUUCGGCCUGGCCAAACUGCUCGGCGCCGAGGAGAAAGAAUACCACGCGGAGGGGGGCAAGGUGCCUAUCAAGUGGAUGGCUUUGGAAUCCAUCCUACACCGAAUUUAUACCCACCAGAGUGACGUCUGGAGCUACGGAGUCACCGUUUGGGAGUUGAUGACCUUUGGGUCCAAGCCUUACGACGGGAUCCCCGCGAGUGAGAUCUCAACCGUCCUGGAGAAGGGAGAACGCCUGCCUCAGCCGCCCAUCUGCACCAUCGACGUCUACAUGAUCAUGGUCAAGUGCUGGAUGAUUGAUGCAGAUAGUCGCCCAAAGUUCCGUGAGUUGAUCAUUGAAUUCUCCAAAAUGGCCCGAGACCCCCAGCGCUACCUUGUCAUCCAGGGGGACGAGAGGAUGCAUUUGCCAAGCCCCACGGACUCCAACUUCUACCGCGCCCUGAUGGACGAAGAGGACAUGCAAGAUGUCGUGGAUGCGGACGAGUACCUCAUCCCCCAGCAGGGCUUCUUCCACAGCCCCGCCAGCUCCCGGACGCCCCUCCUCAGUUCUCUGAGCUCCACCAGCAACACGCCCACUGUGGCUUGCGGUGAUAGAAACGGGCAGAGCUAUCCCCUCCAGGAAGAUAGCUUCUUGCAGCGGUACAGCUCAGACCCCACUGGCACCUUGACCGAGGACAGCAUAGAUGACGCCUUCCUUCCAGCACCCGAAUACGUAAACCAGUCUAUUCCCAAAAGGCCCGCGGGCUCUGUCCAGAACCCCGUCUAUCACAAUCAGCCUCUAAACCCGGCUCCAGGCAGAGACCCUCACUACCAGAAUUCCCACAGCAAUGCCGUGGACAGCCCUGAGUAUCUCAACACCACCCAUCCCGCCUGCACCAACGGUGUGCUCGACGGCCCUGCCCUCUGGGCACAGAAAGGCGGUCACCAAAUUAACCUGGACAACCCUGACUACCAGCAGGCCUUCCUUCCCAAGGAAGCCAAGUCAAAUGGCAUCUUUAAGGGUUCUGCCGCUGAAAAUGCAGAAUACCUAAGGGUAGCACCAGCGGGCAGCGACCUUACCGGGGCCUGACCACGGAGGACGGCCUCAGCCCUAAAAAGUCCAGCCCCUUCAUUCCCCAGGACCAAGCCACGGCAGCUACUCAGUCCCGUCAGCCAUACUCACAUUAACUCUUGGACCCAUGGACUGGUUUGGCCACAUCUGCCGUGAUCAGCCCAUCUUUCAGCCAACAAGUGCCCCCGACUCGGAUGCACUUAGGGGAGCUGCAGGGACAUUCCUUUGUCUUCAGACUGUGAGGCUUCCACAAAAGGCAUCCAGAAAGAAUGUUGUCCAUUUGGGCAGAAGUUCACCUUUCAGUGAGGUAUAUUUGAAAAACACUAAAUAUGUUUAAGGAGUUUUAUUGCCUGGGGACCUCUGGGGUUUUGUCAUUGAUUUUGCUCUCAAUGGGCUUGUCCAAUGAGGGACAGUCUUGCUCGUAGCACCUGUGGCACUGAGUUGACCCAGGCCCACCUGUGACCGAGAAGCAAGGGUCAGCCUUCCAGCUAACACUUGAUUCCAUUGGCUCCGCUUGGAGACUCUUCCACUGCAAGACAGUUGAAUAACGAACCAGUCCUCUGGAUCCUAAGCAGGCCCGAUUGGUACUAUAUCAAAUCACGGCAGGUGCAAGAGGAUAAGCCACUUGGAACUCUUCCUGGGCAAGGAAGAAACAGAGGGGGUAGAAUUCUUCCUCAGACUUACUUUUAUAUGAAUGUCUCCAUGGUACUUAACUCUCCAUUGGUUGACCAGUGUUUUCUAAUUACAAGUAUCAGAUUUGUUUCUUUUCCAUUCCACUGCGGUGAAGUUCAGCAUGCUUUCCCUGUCAGCAGGAGGGGGCGGUAACCAAGAUCGGCUCAUAUUUCAUUCGUCAGCAUUCAGACCAGUUGCCUUUAAUUGAGAUGGAAUGACAGUGCAAAAAGGGACCAAUCCCCCAGAUGCGAGUCUCAGAGGAAAUACAUCAGUUCCUUUGGGGGUCAGGGCACAGGCAUGUAUCGGGAGACUGCAAGAACGAAGCUGCUCUUACAACUUCUAGCUCCCCCCAACAAAAAAAAAAAAAAAUUUGUUCAAGCUACUCAUGGAAGAUAUAGUUUUCUUUUUAUUUCACUUCCAGGCUUUUUUCCUCCAAGGGUACUUUGCCCCGCACUGGCAAGCGGCCCCGAAGCUCCUCCUUCCCUUGGUAAGCUGAAGGGUCCAGGCUCUGGGGCAGCUCUGCGGAAAUGUCUCGCCCUCACCACCACUGGCACGCUUUAGAAUAGAGACAGCAGUUUGUGUCGUGUGGAAUUCAAGCGAGCAGUUUGAGUUUCAACAACUGCAAAACCGAGGAGAAAUUAUGGAGAGUUACCGUAUGCCCUCUGCUCCCCAGGCUUCCCGCUCCUGCCGUCUACACCGUAGGGCCUGAUACGCUUCAGCGAGUGGAGCCGUCUCAAUGCCGUGUCGUGCAGGGCACACCUCCCAAGAUCUCCCCUUCCCAGAUCUCCUCCAAGAGAGAGGCCUCCUUGCGGAAGAGAUGAGUCUGUAGCAAGGUUGUGUUUCCUCGGGACACCAGAAGUUUGUUGUUGCGAUUCUGCUCCGUAAUAAACACUGAAAGUCAGAGACGUUCACAAACCACAACCCUGUGCUCGGGCGUCGGGCCCAGCUGCUCCAACUCUCUCCCCAUCACCCCCCCGUGCCACGGGGAAGACCUGCCUGCCCGCCCUGAGCCAUUUCCUCACUCGCCCGUGGAGGAAACCAGCAGCGCUGAGGGAAGAUGCUGUGUUGAGAUUAAAUCCUUGAGCGGCUCAGGGAACCGGAGGGGGUCGGUCACCUGAACUGGCCGUAAGGGGCAGCGGGUGGUGGGAGGGAGCGCCCAGGCAGGCGGCGCAGUCACCCGGAGCCGUGCCACCCUCCCGAGGCCACCGCCCAGGCUCCCCGUGUCACAACCUCCCUGAUGCUGGCCGCGUAGACGCCCAUCACUUCCGGGGAGGCGCAGCUUUGUCUGGUGCGGUGCAUCCCGGAGAUCAUUUAUCACCUGCGUGCAGCACAGGCUGAGGGGGUCUGUCACUCAGGUGGCAGCAGGACUUAAGGAUAACCAGGUUCCGGAAGCAUAAGCGGAUCCAGGGACCUCUCCGGGUCGCUGUGGGACCCCCAGGCCUCCCUGGCCUCCUGGCCUCCCGAGCCCCCAGCCCCUAGUGUGCUCGGUGCCCUGGGCCUCUUAGAGCUCACAGCCUUCCAUCAGGGCUGAACCCUCACGGAGAGAAGGGGGAGGCAGACAGGGACAGUGCUGGGGCCCCGGCUGCCUGGAGCCUGAAAUGUCACCCCCACGGGAAGGUCGUGGCUUCCAUCCUGCUCAGGGCAAACGCAGCAGCAGCCCGCUCUCCCCCGCCCCCGCCCCCGGAACCCUAGCUGAAGCGCAGUGCACAUGGGGUUUCAGCUUGAAGGGAUUCUGCCUUUGGAAUCACAAAGGCAAAGUCAUCACAGCUCUCUGGAGAGAGAAAAGCUUUCCCAAGAAUAGGAGGGUUUGAAAACGAUGAGACGGUUCUUCCCUGGGUUUUCCGCUUGUUCAGGGCGUGGGCAAGUCCUCCUGAGCCAGUUCUCCAGGUUGUGUCGUAUCCUGGCUCGUCCUCCAGGCCAUCCAGUUCCUUCCUUCACACCCAGGAAAGGACAUUUAAAAACUUGGGUAGAAAAGCCGUAAGAUCACAUCUAAUUUUUGCCCUGGCCUCAAAAACACAGUAAACAAAAUAUAAUAAAGAGCCUGAGGGCAUCCAUUUGUAGUU
RNA transcript from Lagenorhynchus albirostris (white-beaked dolphin), 6419 nucleotides. It is a transcript of the gene named epidermal growth factor receptor, with no coding region annotated. Lineage: Eukaryota; Metazoa; Chordata; Mammalia; Artiodactyla; Delphinidae. The transcript has 29 exons. The record is from RefSeq and is a predicted model, not a curated record.